GACGAACCGUCCAAACGUUAUUCGGAAUUACUGGGCUUAAAGGGUGUGUAGGCGGCUGGAUAAGUCUGGUGUGAAAUCUUCACCGCUCAACGGGAAGGGGUCACUGGAAACUGUCCAGCUUGAGUAUGGUAGAGGCAAGCGGAAUUCCUGGUGUAGCGGUGGAAUGUGUAGAUAUCAGGAAGAACACCGGUGGCGAAGGCGGCUUGCUGGGCCAUCACUGACGCUGAGACACGAAAGCGUGGGGAGCAAACGGG
This 254-nucleotide ribosomal RNA is filed under the name uncultured bacterium. RNAcentral's name for it is "partial 16S ribosomal RNA". It matches the Rfam family "Bacterial small subunit ribosomal RNA", at positions 524 to 776 of the family's 1533-position model. The record is from RNAcentral.